AAAAGUAGAGGCGCGUUUUCCAUCAGUAGCCGUAUUUACGCUUCCGCGGCGGUCAAAAAUCCGGCGAAAGGGGCAAACGCCGAAGAAAAGUGUCUGCGGAGGCCAUUUUUCUGGGCGGUAUGGCAAAAAGCCUGCCGACUGUCAUCUUAAACAGAUGGAGAGCUACUGAA
Molecule: non-coding RNA, 170 nt
Filed under: Candidatus Neoanaerotignum tabaqchaliae
Lineage: Bacteria; Bacillati; Bacillota; Clostridia
Description: Lysine riboswitch
Rfam family: Lysine riboswitch aptamer
About the family: Riboswitches are metabolite binding domains within certain messenger RNAs that serve as precision sensors for their corresponding targets. Allosteric rearrangement of mRNA structure is mediated by ligand binding, and this results in modulation of gene expression. This family includes riboswitches that sense lysine in a number of genes involved in lysine metabolism, including lysC.
Source: RNAcentral